RNAcentral lists this ribosomal RNA (497 nucleotides) under uncultured bacterium. RNAcentral's name for it is "partial 16S ribosomal RNA". It matches the Rfam family "Bacterial small subunit ribosomal RNA", at positions 28 to 507 of the family's 1533-position model. The record is from RNAcentral.
GAUGAACGCUGGCGGCGUGCCUGAUACAUGCAAGUCGAGCGAACGGACGAGAAGCUUGCUUCUCUGAUGUUAGCGGCGGACGGGUGAGUAACACGUGGAUAACCUACCUAUAAGACUGGGAUAACUUCGGGAAACCGUAGCUAAUACCGGAUAAUAUUUUGAACCGCAUGGUUCAAAAGUGAAAGACGGUCUUGCUGUCACUUAUAGAUGGAUCCGCGCUGCAUUAGCUAGUUGGUAAGGUAACGGCUUACCAAGGCAACGAUGCAUAGCCGACCUGAGAGGGUGAUCGGCCACACUGGAACUGAGGCACGGUCCAGACUCCUACGGGAGGCAGCAGUAGGGAAUCUUCCGCAAUGGGCGAAAGCCUGACGGAGCAACGCCGCGUGAGUGAUGAAGGUCUUCGGAUCGUAAAACUCUGUUAUUAGGGAAGAACAUAUGUGUAAGUAACUGUGCACAUCUUGACGGUACCUAAUCAGAAAGCCACGGCUAACUACGUG